Molecule: transfer RNA, 73 nt
Filed under: uncultured Conexibacteraceae bacterium
Lineage: Bacteria; Bacillati; Actinomycetota; Thermoleophilia; Solirubrobacterales; Conexibacteraceae
Description: tRNA-Gln
Rfam family: tRNA
About the family: Transfer RNA (tRNA) molecules are approximately 80 nucleotides in length.
Source: RNAcentral
UUGCGGGAUGGUGUAAUGGCAGCACGCCUGGUUCUGGUCCAGGAAAUUGGGGUUCGAAUCCCUGUCCCGCAGU